Molecule: long non-coding RNA, 3125 nt
Filed under: Gadus morhua (Atlantic cod)
Lineage: Eukaryota; Metazoa; Chordata; Actinopteri; Gadiformes; Gadidae
Description: lncRNA (ENSGMOG00000022572.1)
Source: RNAcentral
CAAAUGCCGAUGUAACACGGCUUUUUGAUGGCGAGCCUGGCCAUUUGGUCCCAUCAGCCUCUCAUUUUCUUGUCGAAAGUGACUUGUUCAUGGUGGCGGGGAGAAUGCUAGGCCACUCUUUCCUUCACGGAGGACCGUCCUUGUCUGGACUCAGCCCUGCUGUUGUUCAUGUACUGCUUGGUGGGAGUCCUGAAACGGCAACUCUAACUUUGGAGGAUUGUCCAGACCUGGACAUCAGAGAAAUAAUAAGGCUUCUCGGAGGAGAAUCCACACUAUCGGAGAAGGAUGCAGCAAGUGUCCAGGAAUUGGCCUACGCCUGGGACCUUCCAUCCAUAACUGAGACCAAAGGAGAUGGAUUUUUGAGAAGUUAUUGAUCCAUGCUGUUAUCGGCCGUGUCACAAGACAAAUAAAACAGCUCAGGCGAGGUCUCAAAGAAACCCCAAUGUGGACAGUACUGACCCAACGACCUGACACAGUGGACAGGCUUCUCCCAAAAGAGGGAUCUGGGAAUAUAAACCCUGAGGUACUUCUUCAGCGAAUCACUUGGCCCCGUGAGGACGACGAAGACGCAGAUUAUUCAGUCGCCACGAUAUGCUGCAUUACAGGCUAUCUUCGACAGUUCAUUGCUCAUGCUACACCAACCGAAUUGACUGAUCUGGUCAAAUUUUGGACUGGAUGGGAGAUCCUUCCAAGGAGCCUCUCAGUCGAAGUAGUCACUGGCAGAUACCCCACAGCGUCCACCUGCUUUGAGGCCUUGCGGGUCCCAGGGCAUUACAAAGAUUAUACAUCUUUCAGAACUGAUGUUCUCGCCAGCAUUUCAUCGUGCCAAACAGGAUUUGGUCUGGUGUGACCAAAGACUUUCACAGAUUCUUGGGACGAACAGAGAAACUAGCUGCUGUUUCAUUUGGGUUGGAGCCAACACACAUCUAAUCAGGCUGAAGGAAUAUUGCAUUCUGACAAAAGAACACACACUCUUAAACACACACACACGGCACUCACAAACAAACACACACACACACACACAUACACACACAAAAACAAACACGUACACACAAACUCAUGCAAACACACAAACACACACACACACACACACACACUCUAGAUUUCUAGAUAUUAUUCGAUUUUGGAUGUUACAUUAUCCACCAGUUAUGCUUUUUUGAGUUUUGUUUUAACAUUUCAGAUAGUUACGUUUCACUGAGUGUUGAGCCCUAUGUUACUGUCAAACGGAUCAGUCAAAACUGUCAGUUUGACUCCGUUUGAAGCAUAACAUCUAUAAAUAAAUGGUUGAUAUCAUUUUUUUGCUUUAUAAUUAUUACUUUUCCUAAUUUAAUGACCACUGGCAAACACAAAAAGUGCAAUAGUUCUUCCUCUGUUAUAUCCAGUAUUACUACACAGCCUAGGCUCUGUAAACUGGUAUGUAAACAGGCCCACCGUAGCUAGCAACAUGCCUGUUUACUAGGGCUGUAACGAUACACCAACUCACGAUUCGGUUUGUAUCACGAUUUUUGACCCACGGUUCGAUACAGCCCACGAUCUUUUUUAAAUUAAAAAGCAUUUUAUUUAAACAACACUUAUAUAACAAUUAACUUAAUGUAACAUUUAAUAACAAAUCAUUUGGAACACUGAACAGAUUCGAACAGAAAGAAUACUAUUAAAGUAUAGCUAAAUUAAUUAAUAAAUGACCAAAGAUUGCAGUUGGAGGAUGCUUGCACAGAUUCGAACAGAAAGAAUACUAUUAAAGUAUAGCUAAAUUAAUUAAUAAAUAACCAAAGAUUGCAGUUGGAGGAUGCUUGCAGGUAGGCAAAAACCCUCAACUAGUUUGGUUGUUUAGUCAAAUAUCCUAUAAGCGCUUCUUAUUAGGCUAUGUAGCUAAAAUAACGACAUAAUCAGGCCGUAUAGAAUGCAACAUGUUUAAUAGCCUAACUUUCAAUAGAUGCGAAAAAACAUGAACGUCAUGAACGUCGCGAGGCAUAGCGUUACGAGUAGCCUAUGUUUGUGCGCGAGAAUGGCAGUGUGCGCAUGUUUGUGUGUGAGUGACGUCAGCGAGUGAGUGGACGAGCGAGGAGAGCGAGCGGUAGCGUGUGUGUCUAGUGAAGAAGCGAACGAGUCCGGUAGAAUAAAGUACCCAUCCUGUCAAUAAUCGGUGGCCGCUUCAUUCCGACCUAUAAGCAGACCAACUGCCGGUCAAAUCACACAAAACAAUAGAGACAGCGAUCACACAGGCAAUUUUUUUCGUGCUUGGCCCACUCUGGAUAAAUGUCGUUCAUAUCGCAUAUGAGGACUUCGACGGCUGUGGAGAAGUACAAUCCUCCGUAGCCACCGAGAGCUGUCAUCACAGAGAGGGCAUCUCGUCGCAUACUUACGGCAUCGAUAGGAGGGGGCGGUGUCAGCAGACUAUUAUUUUGACAAAUUAUUAGCAAAUUUCAAUCGGACAAUUUGACCGGAGAGUUAGAAAGGGCGUAUCGCGCUUCUGCCUUCUCACACCGAGACAGGUUCGUGGCUGUUUACUACUGUUUACAGAGGCUGUGUAGUAAAUCUGGAUUUUUUUUAUUCAGGGAACACAAAGUAUGUACAGUUUCUCCUAAAUCAGUGUUCACAUCAAAGCUUUGACAACAUCCAUUAGGUUUUACACAAUUUGGCUUUAAAAAAAGAGUGAACGUAAACUGUUAAAUGUUUCAACAGCCCUCAUCUAUAAAUUAGAGGGGAAAAAGCAAGCCAGUUUAAAAUUGUGUUAAGUGUUAACAAAAGUGUAAAACUCAAAAUAUUUACAUUUCUUUUUCACCUUUUAUAAAUGUUAUUUGAUUUGCAUGGCAAGUUAUCACAACUGUUGAAAUGAGGUAAGUCAAGAAGGCCAUGGGAGAUGGUUUGAAAUGUUGUUUUUUUCCCGCUCCACAUCAAGAUCAUUCCAGUCCAGAUGUAAUGACGACCUUCGUCUUUUGGAGCCCGCUAACAAAACCAACGGGCCUCAUUAAUGUGGGCAGUCCAGCGAUAAACGAUUUGCUCCGAUACAAAAAAAUGACAGUUACAUGACAGACAUGGCCUAUUUAAGCCAGGGUGAGUGGGUUUAUGUCUCUAUGCAAAUCUCAAUUCAGUUCUUUCACAGGGAAAGAAAUUGUUCACAAAAC